GAUGAACGCUGGCGGCGUGCCUAAUACAUGCAAGUCGAGCGAACGGACGAGAAGCUUGCUUUUCUGAUGUUAGCGGCGGACGGGUGAGUAACACGUGGAUAACCUACCUAUAAGACUGGGAUAACUUCGGGAAACCGGAGCUAAUACCGGAUAAUAUUUUGAACCGCAUGGUUCAAAAGUGAAAGACGGUCUUGCUGUCACUUAUAGAUGGAUCCGCGCUGCAUUAGCUAGUUGGUAAGGUAACGGCUUACCAAGGCAACGAUGCAUAGCCGACCUGAGAGGGUGAUCGGCCACACUGGAACUGAGACACGGUCCAGACUCCUACGGGAGGCAGCAGUAGGGAAUCUUCCCAAUGGGCGAAAGCCUGACGGAGCAACGCCGCGUGAGUGAUGAAGGUCUUCGGAUCGUAAAACUCUGUUAUUAGGGAAGAACAUAUGUGUAAGUAACUGUGCACAUCUUGACGGUACCUAAUCAGAAAGCCACGGCUAACUACGUG
This 496-nucleotide ribosomal RNA is filed under the name uncultured bacterium. RNAcentral's name for it is "partial 16S ribosomal RNA". It matches the Rfam family "Bacterial small subunit ribosomal RNA", at positions 28 to 507 of the family's 1533-position model. The record is from RNAcentral.